CCAAAAAUCUGAUUUUUAUUAUGGGGUUUGGAAAUUUCAUUUUGACUUUAAGUCAAUUAAAGACCAAACACCAUCUUUUUCUUUGUCUGCCUUCUUCUUCCUCCUUUACACGUAUGAGAACUUUCUCAUCAAGCUUCUUGACUUUUCAUUCUUCAGUCCAAGAACAAAGCAAAACUCAUUUCUCAUUCUUUCUCCUUUAUGCGUGGCAAAACCUUGUUAAUUUGAAAUGCCAAAUGUCCAAUUUAUUUAUCAAUUUCAUGACUCACCAUGUCAAGAAAGCUUAUAAAUAGCCAUUAAAGUUUCUGUCAUCUUCAAGCUUACAAAUCCAACUCAAAUUUGAGUAAUCAAAUUAAAAACACCAUUGUUAAAGGUUGGAACUUUUUACCCCAUUAACUUUGACCACCAUUUUUCUCUCUCCUCCGUUGACCACCGCGGCUCCACCGCUGCCACCACCUGUUUCCAGCGAAUCCUUCCUUCACCGCCUCGGACCAGUGCCCAGAACCCUGACCCGGCACCACCUUUUCCCCGUCGCCGUGUCCAUGCCGCUGUGGCCCUUUUUCUACGGGUGUUGCUGCUGUUGCGUGACUACUGCUAUUCUUUCUCUGAUUGAAUUUUCAUGGUCUUGUUUUAUUGAGUACUUGGAUUUUAAAGGUGUGGGCCAUGGUUUUAUGUUAAGGAGCCAACAAUCUUAUGGAGUAAGAUAGUGGACCGUGAGUUUAGUAAAGAAAGAACUAUUUUGGGUUUAUUUUUCCAUAAAGGUAAAAGUUUAUUAAGUUCUAAGUAUCAUAAUUUUAAGUUGGCAUAUUACUAAAUUAAUUAAAGAAUCUUAUGAUUAAUGCAUAUUGUUGUUAUAAUUUUGAGGUUGGAAACUACGGGAAGUAUUUGGAGUAUAAGGUGUUCGGCUCAAACGUUUUUAGUUAAGGAUCGAUCGAGGUUCGAUUAAGGAGCUCAAGUUGCUCAAAUGAGAGUUAUUACUGGAGUUGGUAAUUUAUUUUGGAGAUAUCGAGACGAGAAUUUAUUUAUUAUGGAAAUCAUGUUAUUGAGGUUGUUAUAAGAAUAUUGAUUUAUAUUUAUUUUAUGGAAAAGUUGUAUUAUUUA
Spinacia oleracea (spinach) is the source of this 1098-nucleotide long non-coding RNA. RefSeq lists it as uncharacterized. The transcript is spliced from 2 exons. Lineage: Eukaryota; Viridiplantae; Streptophyta; Magnoliopsida; Caryophyllales; Amaranthaceae. The record is from RefSeq and is a predicted model, not a curated record.